CCUACGGGGUGCAGCAGUCGAGAAUCAUUCACAAUGGGGGAAACCCUGAUGGUGCGACGCCGCGUGGGGGAAUGAAGGUCUUCGGAUUGUAAACCCCUGUCAUGUGGGAGCAAAUUAAAAAGAUAGUACCACAAGAGGAAGAGACGGCUAACUCUGUGCCAGCAGCCGCGGUAAUACAGAGGUCUCAAGCGUUGUUCGGAAUCACUGGGCGUAAGGCGUGCGUAGGCUGUUUCGUAAGUCGUGUGUGAAAGGCGCGGGCUCAACCCGCGGACGGCACAUGAUACUGCGAGACUAGAGUAAUGGAGGGGGAACCGGAAUUCUCGGUGUAGCAGUGAAAUGCGUAGAUAUCGAGAGGAACACACGUGGCGAAGGCGGGUUCCUGGACAUUAACUGACGCUGAGGCACGAAGGCCAGGGGAGCGAAAGGGAUUAGAUACCCUAGUAGUC
This 446-nucleotide ribosomal RNA is filed under the name uncultured bacterium. RNAcentral's name for it is "partial 16S ribosomal RNA". It matches the Rfam family "Bacterial small subunit ribosomal RNA", at positions 338 to 795 of the family's 1533-position model. The record is from RNAcentral.